GUCCUCAGUCUGGUCUCCACUGGUAACGGUGGCUAAUACCGGAUGUGCCGGAAGGUGAAAGGCUUGCUGCCUGAAGAUGAGCUCGCGUCCGAUUAGCUAGUAGGUGGGGUAAGAGCCUACCUAGGCGACGAUCGGUAGCUGGUCUGAAAGGAUGACCAGCCACACUGGGACUGAAACACGGCCCAAACUCCUACGGGAGGCAGCAGUGGGGAAUUUUCCGCAAUGGGCGAAAGCCUGACGGAGCAAUACCGCGUGAGGGAGGAAGGCUCUUGGGUUGUAAACCUCUUUUCUCAGGGAAGAACACAAUGACGGUACCUGAGGAAUCAGCAUCGGCUAACUCCGUGCCAGCAGCCGCGGUAAUACGGAGGAUGCAAGCGUUAUCCGGAAUGAUUGGGCGUAAAGCGUCCGCAGGUGGCUGUGUAAGUCUGCUGUCAAAGAGCAAAGCUCAACUUUGUAAAGGCAGUGGAAACUACACGGCUAGAGUGCGUUCGGGGCAGAGGGAAUUCCUGGUGUAGCGGUGAAAUGCGUAGAGAUCAGGAAGAACACCGGUGGCGAAGGCGCUCUGCUAGGCCGCAACUGACACUGAGGGACGAAAGCUAUGGGAGCGAAUGGGAUUAGUAC
This 621-nucleotide ribosomal RNA is filed under the name Nostoc punctiforme AUS-JR/MT/NT-038. RNAcentral's name for it is "bacterial SSU rRNA". It matches the Rfam family "Bacterial small subunit ribosomal RNA", at positions 128 to 785 of the family's 1533-position model. The record is from RNAcentral. Lineage: Bacteria; Bacillati; Cyanobacteriota; Cyanophyceae; Nostocales; Nostocaceae.